RNAcentral lists this long non-coding RNA (7306 nucleotides) under Capsicum annuum. RNAcentral's name for it is "long non-coding RNA (CANN_LNC013207)". Lineage: Eukaryota; Viridiplantae; Streptophyta; Magnoliopsida; Solanales; Solanaceae. The record is from RNAcentral.
UCAACUCAGACUCAUUUUCUUCCACUUCUAUUAGCAUAUCCUAUUCAUCAACUUCCAAACAAAACAGUUGCCUCUUCUUUUUACACACAUGUCCAAAAUUAUAUUUUUCAUCACAAUUAAAACACAACCCUUUACUCUUUCUUUCAUCCAUUUCUGUAGAACUUAGCAGUCUAGGAGGUUUGUAACCUGGUUUAGAACUUUCAGCAACAUAAAUAGCUUGUUUGGAGGGAAAAUUUUAUUUAUAAUAAAAGAAAGAAGAUGCUACAGAAUUAGCAAAUUUAGGAGGGUUUCUUGGAGUAGCUAGGAUAGGACAAUGUCAAAAAACUUGUCUAUGCACUUCAAGUGUUUGUUCUUGGAUCUUAGCCAAACUUAUGGCCUUAGCUAAAGUUCUGGGAUUCAAUAUUUUCACUGGCAAGCCAAUUUCAGGUUUCAACCCCCUAAUGAAACAACUAACCACAUAAUGCUCAGGAAGAUCAUCCCCAGUGAGCACUUCAUAAAAAAUAUUAAUAUAUUCUUGAACAGAACCAGUCUGUCUUAAGUCUUUCAGAUCUUCCAUAAGAUCAUCAAAAAGUUCAGAUCCAAACCUAGCAUACAAGCAACCUACAUAUUCACUCCACCUUGACCAAUCUCUGGACAAUCUUUGCUUCAUAAAAGAUUGGUGUCACUGCAAGGCUUUGCCUUCCAAUUUACAGGAAGGCAAUUCCACUUUAGAACCUUUAGGUGUUUCAUCCACCUCAAAGAAUUGCUCACAUUUGUACAACCAUUCUUUUAAUCCCUUACCAUCAAAUUUAGGAAAUUCUACCUGAUAGCUCUGAGUGGGUAGACGGUAAUCUUCAUGUCUAGCAGGAUUAGCCAUUAAAGCUCCAUCAAGUGCCACUGUAGUUGGUUGUCCUUCUACUCUUGCAGAUCUAUUACAAGAACCAUUGCUCAUCAACAUCUUUUUGAUUUCAUCUACUGCUUGUGCGACUUUUGCAUCCACCAGCUGCCUUAAAUCUGACACAGAAGUUACCACAGUAUCCAUGGAACCCUUUAGGUUAUCAACCUCUUUACGUAGCUCUUGCAUACAAGUGUUGUGAUCUCCCAUUGCAGUUGAUCUAAGGAUGUAUUGGCUCUAAUUGUUUUUAUUAUUAUUAUUAUUAUUAUUAUUAUUAUUAUUAUUAUUAUUUUUCAGGGAUAUCAACUUGCUUAUAAAAUGACCUUAGAAACCUUCUCGAUGACUCUAUUCUCUCUCGGUGCAAGUUAGCAAAACCUGGGCCAACCAUGGAUAAGAGAGCUCGGCAGUCAUUGCAGAAGGCUUUAAUGGCGAAGGAGACUAUGGUAAUGCGGGGGGGCGGGGGAGGACUCAACAAGGUCAUAAAACUACAACUACAACAUAGAUAGGAGCAAAUUUGGGGGAAAACCAAUGUAGAAGUAACUUCAACUAGAUCAAUUUUUGGAGAAUUGAAGGAACUAGCGAUGGAGGCAAAAACUAAAGUGGACAAAAAUAAGAUGAAAAUGAGGCAAAUUGAGGCACAACAACAGUGGUUGGAUGUUAUGCUUGAUAAUUGUAGCGCUCCCAGUGAAGAUCCAUAAAGUAGCAGUCGUAAAUCUUGGGCAUACAUAUUUGAGGAGGAAGAGACUAAACCAAUGAAGAAGGGUUCAGUUUGGGAUAAUUUUGAUGUUAUGAAGGUAGUUAAUGCUGGGUUCAAGCUCAACUUUAUCGAUCCAACUACACAAGGUGAGAAUCGCUGUAUUGAGAUCGAUUUAGAUGACAUCAGCAUAAAACUUGAGUACUGGAAAAACUCAAUUGUGUGCUACGUACUGGGAGCUUAUUAUCUAUAUGCUAUAAUUAAAGGCUAUAUCCAGAAACUGUGGGGGAAACUAGGAAUAAACAAAAUCUGAUGCUGAAGAAUGGUGUAGUCCUGGUCAGAUUUGAUACUGCCGCAAGGAAAUAGGAAGUGAUAGAAGGUGGAAUUUAUCAUUUCGAUAACAAACCGUUCAUAGUCAAGGAUUGGAAUCCCGACAUGAAUUUCUCCAAAAAAGAGUUACGUACAGUUCCAAUAUGGAUCAGGCUCCCUGGGUUAGACUUCAAGUACUAGAGUCAAAGAGGGCUAAGCAAAAUAGGAAGCUUAGUGGGAAAGCCGCUAAUGGUAGAUAGUAGCACAGAGAAGAAGGUUGGUCUAAACUAUUCAGUGUUACUAAUUGAAAUACAAUUAAACGGUGUGCUACCUGAAAACAUAAUGUUUAGGAAUGUAAAAGGUUAUUUGAUAGAACAAAAGGUAAAAUAUGAGUGGAAGCCGACCCUAUGCUUUUACUGUGAUAAGUACGGGCAUGGUAUGGAGGUCUGCAGGAAGAAAAAUGUCACAAAGAAGGACACCAAAGUUCCAGCCGAGGAACCUAAACUUGAAUCGAAUAUGGUGUAGUUAGAAGAGGUCAAAAUAAUACACAAUGAGGUGAUAAAACCUGGGAGUCAGGAUAAGCUUCCUCAAGGCAGUGAUUCCAAGCAGGAGAAUUCUAAUACAAAUAGGGAAGAUGGAGAACCAAGUUGGAUCACUCCUUUGAAAGUAGGAAAAAGUCAGCAAAUAAAGUCACAAAAUUUGGUUAGCUUAAAUACUUUCCAGGCGUUGAACACUUCACCUGCAUCUAGUUCACAUGAUGGUAGGGGACUAGAUGGUAAGAUGAUAAAUGGAACCAUUCCUAUCUGUGGGAAUGGAUAGCAUUGUCAGCUGGAAUGUAAGAGGGAUGAAUGGCCAAAAUAAGCAAAAUGAGGUUAAGCUCCUUUGUAAUGAGGAAAAUAUAGGUCUUAUUGGCCUACUAGAAACUAAAUAAAGAAAGAAAGGAUUGAAUAUGUUGCAACUACCAUGUUUAAAGGAUGGCCAUUUAUAACCAACUUAGAGUAUCAUUAUAAUGGUAGAAUUUACGUUACUUGGAGAUCAGACUACUAUCAAGUGUCCUUGUUUAGCAUGACAGAUCAAUUAAUAACCUGUGAUGUUAAACAUAUUCCUAAUUAGUUAGUGUUCCGAGUUAUAUUUGUAUAUGCCUUUAAUACCAUGGAAGAAAGACGGAGCUUAUGGGAGUAUAUAGUAGGGAUGCAUAACGGCACAAUCAUUCCUUGAUUGCUACUAGGAGAUUUCAACUCUGUGUUGCAUAAUGAGGAUAGAAUGAGAGGUAAUCGUGUCUCAUGGUUGGAAGUGACUGAUUUUGCUGCAUGCAUAGAAGAAUGUGGUUUACUCCAACUUCCUUCUCAAGGAAAUAGUAUACUGGAAUGAUAAGAGUAAUGAACAAAGAAUUUACUCUAAGAUUGACUGGGGGUUGAUUAAUCAGGAAUGGCUGGAUCAAAUGCAUUUUAGUAGAUUGGUGUUUUUGCCUGAAGGAAAAGUGACCACUGUCCUGCAAAAGUGAAGUUGAAUGAGACAAAUUCCAAAGGAAGAAGGGCUUUCCAAUAUUGCAAUAUUUGGGGACAACACUCUCAAUUCCUGCACACAGUUAGGCAGGGAUGGAAUAAGAGUAUUCAAGGAUGUAGAAUGUUUCAAGUAGUGCAGAAAUUGAAGAAACUGAAGUAUGAACUAAAGAAAAUGGGAAAUCAGCAUACAAGAAGUAUUGUUGAUGAAGAUGGGGAUGAUAGGAAAGCAUUGAAACUAGCACAAGCGUACCUGCAGCAAUAUCCAUUAAACCAGGGGAAGCAACAAAAGGAAAAGGAGGCAUACUGUAAGUACAAACAGUCCUCUUAUUUGGCUGAAAUGUACUUACAACAAUAAAGUAAAGUUAUUGGCUUAAGCUAGGGGAUGAAAAUACAAGAUACUUCCACUCAGUAAUAAAGCACAGGAAAUUGAAACAAGCUAUCACUCAAGUGAAAAAUAAUCAUAGAGAAUGGCAGCAUGAUUCAAACUCAAUUGCCAAAGUGUUUGUGGAUUAUUAUAAGGCUUUGUUAGGGAGCAAAGAAACUGGUAGGGUGAAGGCAAAAACAUGGUUCUUGAAGAAUGGUCCAAUGUUAACUAUGGAGCAGCAAAUACAACUGAUUAUUCCUUUAUCCCAUAAGGAUAUAAAGGCUGCUAUGUUCUCUAUAAACAUCAAUAAAAGCUCUGGACCUGAUGGUUUUGGUGCUGGGUUCUUUAAAUUAACCUGGAGCAUUGUGGGAUCAGAUAUCAGUGAUGCUAUUUUGGAAUUUUUCGAGUAUGGCAAACUGUUGACACAGAUUAACUCAACUAAUAUAGCUCUUAUUCCUAAGUAGGAGUUUCUAGUAUUAGCAAGCCAGUACAGACCAAUAUCUUGCUACAAUGUGAUAUAUAAAUGCAUUUCGAAGUUGAUCUGUAGUAGACUGAAAGCAGUAGUGAAUGUUAUUGUAUCAGACAACCAGGUAACAUUUGUUAAAGGUAGAUCCAUGCUACAUAAUGUCUUGAUGUGUCAUGACAUUCUAAAACACUACAAUAGGGAGGUUUCUCCUAAAUGCUUAAUAAAAAUAGACUUGAGGAAGGCAUAUGACAUGGUCAGCUUGGAUUUUUUGGAAGAAGCGUUAUUAGGGUAUGGUUUUCCUAAUAGAUUCAUACACUGGAUUAUGAUUGUUGACACCCAAUUUUUGCUCUCCACGCCUAAAAUUAACGUCUUCAGGCUUUUUGUUCGUUAAAGGGCACGAAGCAUAAUUUUCACAUCUUUUUACAAUAGCUUGAUAAAUUAUUGAUAAUUAUCCUUUCUUUAGGAUUUUAAUCAAUUUGUUAUCAUAUUCUUAUUUUUUAUAAUUUAUUAAUUUUUCUAAUUUUAGGAUUUUUAUCAAUUCAUUAUCGUUGUUAACAUUUUACAAUCACCCGCACAUGUGCACGACAUGACGUUAUAUAUAUAUAUAUAUAUAUAUAUAUAUAUUUUAUAGUAUUUUUAAAUUAAUUAUGUUUUAAUAAUUUUAAUAUUCUUUACACUUUUUCAUUCAACAUCUAUAUUUUACAGUUCGCAAAUGCUAAGUCGGAUCAAUUAUUUUGGUGCAGUAUAAUAAUUCGAUGUCUUAUCAUAUCCGACAAUGACUACACAAUAAUGUCUUGUCACAUCCGACAAUAACCACUCAGUGUUGUCUCAUCACAUCUGACAACGACCAAUCAAUGACACUACCCUUGGAUAAUUACUUUGUCCUUUGGUCAAAAGGAUGAAAAUUCUUUGGCCAAUAACUUAAGGACCUAAGGGUGUUCUAUUAUAAAAAGAGAGGACAACCCCUUUAUCCGUUGGAUAAAAGGGGUGCUCAAUUUUUUGUAUAAAUAGGUGGUGGGAGGACACAUUUUUGGACACAUUUUUUUUUUAUCUUUUCCUCUCUUUCAAAAUACACGUAUAUUUAUUUUUUUCAACUAAUAAACAUUUUUCCUUUGCAAACCCACACACAUAUUCAUAAAUACAUAAACAUAUUUUAUUUAUUCCAUUUUUCUAUUUUUCUCUUCAAAACAUACCACAGAUAUAGGACACAACACAACAAUACACACAUACACUACACAUAUGCACAUACAUAUACACACGCAAGUACACUACAGAGAGAAUCAUUAUUUUCAUCUCCUUCUCCCUCACAAUUCUCUCCCUUUCUCCUUCACUGUCCCAGAUCCGGCGAGCUGUCCACCGGCGCCGCCCCUACACUCCCCUCUCUUCUGUAUCUGGCAAAGUCCCCAUCACCGAUGGUCAUCUCUGACCAGCGGUUCUUCACCAAACCUCUAGCCAUCAAAAAAUCACCAGCGCCCUCCACUCUCUUUUCCCUUUUUGCCGCGCCACGCCGGAGUUAAUCGCCAGCGGGCGAGUCUCGAAACAGCUAUGAGCCACCGCUUCCAAUCCCACAGUAACACGACCACUGUCUUUUAGCCGUUGUUACCUCCUUAUCUUUUACACUGUCACACCGAAAACCAUGGAGGUUUCUCCGGUGUUACCUCCCUUAAACACUAGAUCUAAAAAAUGGUUUUCUUCUCUUAUUUGCUUAUCCUGUUAUUAUUCUCAAUUGUUCUCAUGAUUUAUUUUGUAGGCCAGAAUACUAUUAUUUGGUGAUAAUGACAAUUGUUUUAUAUUGGAAAUGACAUUUUUUUAUAUUGCAAAUGACAUUUGUUUUAUGUUGCUUAUCAUAUUAUUAUUCUGUACAGUGGGAUUUCUCCACUGUAUUUAUUUAUUACACUGAUAUUGAAUAAGAUAAUACACAUUUUGACCGAUGAAAAAUUAUUAUUAAUUUGAGGCGUCCGUAAACAAAAGAGGAUUCUACGUAUACAAAUACGUAAUAAAUAUUUUGGGCGAUGAUAAAACUUUAUAACAACACAAGAUUUUACAAUUCAUAUCUUGGCAAGACGAUUUAGGAAGGCCAAUUAAUUGAGCAAUCACUUUGUUGCAAGACGAUUUAGGACGGCCAAUUAAUUGAGCAACUAUUUCGCAGUCAUGACAUUAUCUGAGCCCACUUUUUAACAAAAAUAUAUUUUUAAAUAUCUAUACGCAUACAUACUUGUUUAAUUUAUUUUAAUUAUUUUUAAUUUGUUACUUUCUUUUUUAAGUGUUUAUACAGGUUAUUUUGAAAUACUCGUUGGGAGUUGCAGUCAAAGGAGCCCUUAAAUUUUAUAUUAUAUUUUAUAUUCUCACACUUGUACAAAUAACAAAAAAAAUUGUGAAAAUUUUACUUUUUGGGUGUCGAGUGGGGAUAUUCUUUAUUUACAUAAUUUCAUCAAUUUUAGGCAAAACUUAGGUCGUUAAUAUUUAUAUAAAAUAAUUAAGUUAAUCAAUUAAUUCACAUUCACAUAUUACAUAUCUCUCUUUUAAAAAAUAAAUUUAUAUUUUCCUUUGUGAUUAAAAAAUACUUUUCCUUUUUAGUAUAUAAAAGAUACUUUUCUCUUUUUAUACGUUACAAAAAAUGUUUUUUCCUUUUACAUGAAAUCUUUAUAUUUUUAUACAUAUUUUCAUAACAAUAAAUUUAUUUAUAUAUUUAAUACACAUACAACUUUAUAUUAUUUAAAUAUUUUUACCACCUCGCUCUUUGAUAAAUUUAGACUUGUGGAUUCUGAAGGAUGCCUAACCCCUUCCCUUCAGAAUAACUUGAACCCUUACCUAGAAUCUGAACUGGCUUCGUAGACUAAAACACAAGUCUUGCAUUUUAUUAAAUAAAAAAGAUUUUUCUCAUUUCCCUUAAAAUAAGGUGGUGACUCUGUACAAUUUUCAUUCUUUUAGUGUCCAUAACGUCGUGCUCGUUUUAACCUCAGGUAAAAAUAGGGGCGCGACAGAAUGAAGACUUUGCUGGGGAUGAGGAGACGUUCUAACCAUGAUCGACUCAAUUUUCAAUCGAGGGAGGUAUUUUUACAUUUUUGUAUAUGAUUAAAUUCUUCACCUAUUA